GACACAGAGAGCUGUAAACCUUAAAAGCAGCCAUUUAUUGCCACACACUGAACUAACCAAAAACCAGCCAAAACUGGCUGGGCUUUCCCCUAAUAAUCUACAUCAACUGCCAUAGCCACAACAAGAUUCUAAUACCACAACAACCAAAUGCACAACAGAAUGGACACUGCUACCUGAAAUUUCCAAUUAGAGGUGCAGAGGUGCAGAUACACCUACAGUGGAGCACUCUUAGAGACACUACUCAAAGAAGAAGGGAUAGCUAAAUCUCAGUUCUGCCCUACAUCGUCAGUCCUGAGAGAUAGUAGAGAAGUGAAGGAUUCUUAUAAGAAAAUUCAAACUUACUUCAGGCUCCUUUUUAAUCCCUGCUUCAAGUAUCUUGCAGCUAACAAGAUUCACAUGUGAGGAAUUAAAGGCUGCCCAAAGAGCUGAAGAGCCAGACGCAUGAGUUCUACAUCUAACAACAAUUUGAGAGAGAAAUGAUCACUAUCCAUUCUGAAUUAUCUGGAGGAAGUAAAAUGUUCCUCAAUUACAAUACUCAGAAGUGAAAUCUUUUAUACGUACGAUGCAGAUAGUAUGUAAAAUUUUAAGUCCCAACUGUAACCAAACUAAUUUAACAAGACCACCAUAAAACUGGUAUACAGUAAUGACAACACUCGUGGGGAUGUCUGCAAGGGAUAAAGGUGAAUCAGAUUAAGUCUUAUUAAACUAACUGGGUAUUAAAAUCACUUCAUCACCUUUCUUAAGGGAAA
Molecule: long non-coding RNA, 749 nt
Organism: Mauremys reevesii (Reeves's turtle)
Lineage: Eukaryota; Metazoa; Chordata; Testudines; Geoemydidae
Exons: 2
Source: RefSeq, a predicted model, not a curated record